This 468-nucleotide ribosomal RNA is filed under the name uncultured bacterium. Its description in RNAcentral is "partial 16S ribosomal RNA". It matches the Rfam family "Bacterial small subunit ribosomal RNA", at positions 28 to 507 of the family's 1533-position model. The record is from RNAcentral.
GACGAACGCUGGCGGCGUGCUUAACACAUGCAAGUCGAACGGAAAGGCCCUGCUUUUGUGGGGUGCUCGAGUGGCGAACGGGUGAGUAACACGUGAGUAACCUGCCCUUGACUUUGGGAUAACUUCAGGAAACUUGGGCUAAUACCGGAUAGGAGCUCCUGCUGCAUGGUGGGGAUUGGAAAGUUUCGGCGGUUGGGGAUGGACUCGCGGCUUAUCAGCUUGUUUGUGGGGUAGUGGCUUACCAAGGCUUUGACGGGUAGCCGGCCUGAGAGGGUGACCGGCCACAUUGGGACUGAGAUACGGCCCAGACUCCUAAGGGAGGCAGGAGUGGGGAAUCUUGCACAAUGGGCGGAAGCCUGAUGCAGCCACGCCGCGUGCGGGAUGACGGCCUUCGGGUUGUAAACCGCUUUCGCCUGUGACGAAGCGUGAGUGACGGUAAUGGGUAAAGAAGCACCGGCUAACUACGUG